GUGAACUGUUGCUGAAUUUCUUACCAAGAAUUAUGAUUGGGUUAGUUGUUGGUGUGAUAAAUGGGUGUUUCCAAAGUUAUUAUGUCACCUUUAUUAAUAAAAUCUGUAAUACCUCUUAUCAUCUUUAGAAGCUUUGGUUGGUCGGAUUCGGAAAUACUUACAAUGACUAAAGCUUUACCUUUCUGCUUGAGAAGUUCGGAGGCUCGACUUCAGCUUUCUUUGAAUUUUUUCAUGAAUGAGCUGGGUUAUACGCCUGCGUAUUUGGCAACUCACUCUAAGUUAUUAGUUUACAGAAAUUUUUAAAAGAUUUUGUGUUGCCGUAUCGUGAAUUUGUACCUCAUCUGUUUGAAGCUUACACCAAAGCUACUGGUCAUCCAGUGACUUGAUUUUCAAUAUCUGGUAAUGAUCAUUUAAACUUAGUAUGAUUGUGUAUACUUUCUUGAUAUUGCAAUACUUAUCCGUUAUUAGAAUAACCGUUGUAUUGCUACAUCUUAUUGUUAGUUUACAGUUUGGAGAAGCGGGUUAUGCCAAGAACUCACCCUAAGUUAUUAGUUUACAGUUUGGAGAAGCGGGUUAUGCCAAGAACUCAAGUGUUAAACGUUUUGAAAGAGAACAAGUUGUUGAAGAAGAAUUUUUAAUUUUGCUAAUUUUGGGCUGAUGGUUGAUUGUGUUGAUGAACAGAAUGAUGGAGGGAGAAUAACUCAAGCAACUCAUGCUCCCACUGGGUUGACUUAUCAGCUGACGUCAGGCGGACACGAAUAAGUGAAAGAAGGAGGAAGCUGUAAGAUCUUGUCCCAAAUAUGGAUAAGUAAACGAGAACCACAGACAUGUUGGAUUUGGCUGUUGAGUAUAUCAAAGAACUUCAUAAUCAAGUUGAGCUUAAAACCGAUCCAGUUCGAUGUCGAAAGCGGUGCAAUGAAGCUGUUCGAUGUCAAAAACAGUACAAUGUCGUAAGCAUUGGAGAAGUGGAUUUUGAAGUUGAGUUCGAUGUCGAAAGCGGUGCAAUGAAUCUGUUCGAUGUCAAAAACAGUACAAUGUCCUAAGCAGUGGAGAAGUGGAUUUUGAAGUUGAGAUAAAUGAGUCUGAAGUGGCAUUGCUCUCUUUACUGAAAAGUGACGAUGAUCUCAGGGUUACAGAAUCUUUUUCGUCACUUAAUGAUAAAGUUCUUGCGGCUGCAGUAGAAGCUGUGUUAGCAGUUCUCAUAAUCAAAAGAAAAACAGGUUGAAACUCUGUCUAAUUACUAAGUGAUAGUACUUAGAGGUUUUCAGUAUGAUCAGUGACUAUGUUAAAAUGUUAAUAAUGAUUAGUGAUCUUGCGAUACGUUUUUGUUGAUACAGGGUAUCCUCGGUGCGCUUGUGAAUAUUCUUAAAGGAUUUAAAGGAGGAAAACCUAAUAACAACAUCAACGUUUCUGAAGAUUUUAAAUAUGGUUUUAGCAAUCCGGAUGGAAUCUUUUCAAAGAAUCCGUUUCCCGAUCCACUUGAAAGUUUCUGAAGAUUUUAAAUAUGGUUUUAGCAAUCUGGAUGAAGACGUGUGAUGUUAUUCCUUUUUACACUGGUUUUUAUGAUCUUUUCUAUUUGCUUCAUUUUUUUGUUCUUAUUUGGGAUGAAAUUACAUGUGGAUAUUGCAUUAUCUCUUCAUGUUAUACAGGUUCAAGAGAAGAAAAUUAAGAAAAUUGCAAGCAUGAACAUGGACCCUUCAAAAGUUGCUGGAAAGAACAAUAUUGCCAGUUCAAGUGA
This is an RNA transcript of Helianthus annuus (common sunflower), 1738 nucleotides long. RefSeq lists it as uncharacterized. The transcript is spliced from 7 exons. Lineage: Eukaryota; Viridiplantae; Streptophyta; Magnoliopsida; Asterales; Asteraceae. The record is from RefSeq and is a predicted model, not a curated record.